AAUGUGGAGCCUGACUAAAGGAUUAUCGUGAUAGGAUAAAAUAUGUAAGGCACCUUACCUACAUUA
This 66-nucleotide transfer RNA is filed under the name Calcaritermes cf. nigriceps. Its description in RNAcentral is "tRNA-Ile". The record is from RNAcentral. Lineage: Eukaryota; Metazoa; Arthropoda; Insecta; Blattodea; Kalotermitidae.